Molecule: long non-coding RNA, 238 nt
Filed under: Lathyrus oleraceus (garden pea)
Lineage: Eukaryota; Viridiplantae; Streptophyta; Magnoliopsida; Fabales; Fabaceae
Description: Pisum sativum (pea) long non-coding RNA (PSAT_LNC001052)
Source: RNAcentral
GAUGAAUGAGUCUGUGGGAAUUGAAAAGGUUUGUUUUUUAUGAUUGAAUGAUGCAUUGUUGGAGAUGGUGGUUCAAAUGGUGGUGAUGGUGGUUCAAAUGGUGGUUCAAAUGGUGGUAGUGUUAAUUGUGGUGGUUGUUGUGUUGAUGAGGUUUCGGUUUCAUAGGUUUUAUAGGGUUUGGAUUUGGAAGGUUUUGGUUUUUUCAAUCCUCUUAUGCUAAGGGUUGUGUUUAAUUUUU